CCCGCUGAACUUAAGCAUAUCAAUAAGCGGAGGAAAAGAAACUAACAAGGAUUCCCCUAGUAACUGCGAGUGAAGCGGGAAAAGCUCAAAUUUGAAAUCUGGCAGUCUUUUUUUUCUUCUUUGGCUGUCCGAGUUGUAAUCUAGAGAAGUGCUUACCUGCGCUGGACCAUGUAUAAGUCUCCUGGAAUGGAGCGUCACAGAGGGUGAGAAUCCCGUCUUUGACAUGGACUGCCAGUGUGUUGUGGUGUGCUCUCAAAGAGUCGAGUUGUUUGGGAAUGCAGCUCUAAACGGGUGGUAAACUCCAUCUAAAGCUAAAUAUUGGCGAGAGACCGAUAGUGAACAAGUACCGUGAGGGAAAGAUGAAAAGGACUUUGGAAAGAGAGUUAAACAGUAUGUGAAAUUGUUGAAAGGGAAACGCUUCAAGUCAGUUAUGUUGGCUAGGGAUCAACCCAGCAUUUUUGCUGGGUGAAUUUCCUGGUCUGACAGGCCAACAUCAGUCUUGACUGCUGGAAAAGAGCAGAGGGAAUGUGGCACCUUUGGGUGUGUUAUAGCCCUUCGUCAUAUGUGACAGUCGGGACUGAGGGAUGCAGCAUGCCGUGAGGCUGGGUUUUUUUUUACCACGUUUCAUGCUUAGGAUGUUGGCUUUUAAUGGCUUCAAUCGACCCGUCUUGAAACACGG
This 679-nucleotide ribosomal RNA is filed under the name uncultured fungus. RNAcentral's name for it is "eukaryotic LSU rRNA". It matches the Rfam family "Eukaryotic large subunit ribosomal RNA", at positions 24 to 664 of the family's 3401-position model. Lineage: Eukaryota; Fungi. The record is from RNAcentral.